AUCACUUCUUGGCCUUUUGACUAAGAUCAAGUGUAGUAUCUGUCCUUCAUUUAGCAAUACUCACGACAGCCAGGAAUCUGAUUUUUGAUGUAUUUUAAACUACAUUAAAUAUUGCAUCUGUUGCCUUUAAAAAAGAACAAACUUGGCUGGGUGUGGUGGCUCAUGCCUGUAAUCCCAGCACUUUGGGGAGGCCGAGGCAGAUGGAUC
Callithrix jacchus (white-tufted-ear marmoset) is the source of this 207-nucleotide small nuclear RNA. Its record names the gene U2. It matches the Rfam family "U2 spliceosomal RNA". Rfam says of the family: U2 is a small nuclear RNA (snRNA) component of the spliceosome (involved in pre-mRNA splicing). Complementary binding between U2 snRNA (in an area lying towards the 5' end but 3' to hairpin I) and the branchpoint sequence (BPS) of the intron results the bulging out of an unpaired adenosine, on the BPS, which initiates a nucleophilic attack at the intronic 5' splice site, thus starting the first of two transesterification reactions that mediate splicing. The record is from Ensembl. Lineage: Eukaryota; Metazoa; Chordata; Mammalia; Primates; Cebidae.